GAUGAACGCUGGCGGCGUGCCUAAUACAUGCAAGUCGAGCGAACAGACGAGGAGCUUGCUCCUCUGACGUUAGCGGCGGACGGGUGAGUAACACGUGGAUAACCUACCUAUAAGACUGGGAUAACUUCGGGAAACCGGAGCUAAUACCGGAUAAUCUAUUGAACCGCAUGGUUCAAUAGUGAAAGACGGUUUUGCUGUCACUUAUAGAUGGAUCCGCGCCGCAUUAGCUAGUUGGUAAGGUAACGGCUUACCAAGGCAACGAUGCGUAGCCGACCUGAGAGGGUGAUCGGCCACACAGAAACUGAGACACGGUCCAGACCACUACGGGAGGCAGCAGUAGGGAAUCUUCCGCAAUGGGCGAAAGCCUGACGGAGCAACGCCGCGUGAGUGAUGAAGGUCUUCGGAUCGUAAAACUCUGUUAUUAGGGAAGAACAAAUGUGUAAGUAACUAUGCACGUCUUGACGGUACCUAAUCAGAAAGCCACGGCUAACUACGUG
This 497-nucleotide ribosomal RNA is filed under the name uncultured bacterium. RNAcentral describes it as "partial 16S ribosomal RNA". It matches the Rfam family "Bacterial small subunit ribosomal RNA", at positions 28 to 507 of the family's 1533-position model. The record is from RNAcentral.